RNAcentral lists this ribosomal RNA (380 nucleotides) under uncultured eukaryote. RNAcentral's name for it is "partial 18S ribosomal RNA". It matches the Rfam family "Eukaryotic small subunit ribosomal RNA", at positions 592 to 976 of the family's 1831-position model. The record is from RNAcentral.
CAAUAGCGUAUAUUAAAGUUGUUGCGGUUAAAAAGCUCGUAGUUGGAGUUCUGCCAGGUGCCGCCUGUCCGCCCCAGUGGUGAGUACGUGGCGCGCAUUUGGCCCUUUCAAGGGGAGCGUAUCUGCACUUUAUUGUGUGGUGCGGGAUCCUUGACUUUUACUUUGAGGAAAUAGGAGUGUUCCAAGCAGGCUCUCGUCGUGCACAGCUCAGCAUGGAAUAAUAGCAUUGGACCUCGAUUCUAAGCUGUUGGUUGCCAGAAGCGAGGUAAUGAUGAAGAGGGAUAGUUGGGGGCAUUCGUAUUUAACUGUCGGGGGUGAAAUUCUUGGAUUUGUUAAAGACGGACUACUGCGAAAGCAUCUGCCAUGGAUGUUUUCAUUGA